UGUGAGCGCGGGGACACGAGGUGGUGUGAUAGGGAGGGGUCAAUCUGUAAUCGGAAGUACUGGGCGUAAAGGGUGGGGAGGCGGGGUAUUAAGUCAGAAGUGAAAUCCCAAGGCUCAACCUAGGAACUGCUUUUGAAACUAAUAAACUAGAGUAUCGGAGAGGGAGGUAGAAGUGCAGGUGUAGCGGUGAAAUGCGUAGAUAUCUGGAGGAAUACCAGUGGCGAAGGCGACCUCCUGGACGAAAACUGACGCUCAAGCGCGAAAGCAUGGGGAGCAAACAGGAUUAGAUACCCGGGUAGUC
RNAcentral lists this ribosomal RNA (301 nucleotides) under uncultured Geoalkalibacter sp. RNAcentral's name for it is "bacterial SSU rRNA". The stretch from base 53 to 301 matches the Rfam family "Bacterial small subunit ribosomal RNA", at positions 547 to 795 of the family's 1533-position model. The record is from RNAcentral. Lineage: Bacteria; Pseudomonadati; Thermodesulfobacteriota; Desulfuromonadia; Desulfuromonadales; Geoalkalibacteraceae.